CUAUCAAAAUAUUUUUGUACUUUAUAUGCGUCCCCCGAUAGAAGUUAAAACAAUCCUUGUGGCCGCAUUGGGUAACUUUAGGACUUCCAUUUUAAUUUUGUCUAGGAAAAAAAAGUAAAAUCCGUGUGAUAAUAGUGGAACUGUGCUCGUGUACAUUGAGAUAAAGAAUACAUAUUUAUAUACGUAUACAUAAUGUAAGAAUAUAUUAUAUUAUCUAUGAUUAUAACCGCC
Cinara cedri is the source of this 231-nucleotide non-coding RNA. The record is from the annotation of a GenBank genome assembly. NCBI's taxonomy places the organism in Eukaryota, Metazoa, Arthropoda, Insecta, Hemiptera, Aphididae.